Molecule: ribosomal RNA, 883 nt
Filed under: Microbacteriaceae bacterium CNRB19
Lineage: Bacteria; Bacillati; Actinomycetota; Actinomycetes; Micrococcales; Microbacteriaceae
Description: bacterial SSU rRNA
Rfam family: Bacterial small subunit ribosomal RNA
Source: RNAcentral
AGUGGCGAACGGGUGAGUAACACGUGAGUAACCUGCCCUUGACUCUGGGAUAAGCACUGGAAACGGUGUCUAAUACCGGAUACGACCUUCAGCCGCAUGGCUAGGGGGUGGAAAGAAUUUCGGUCAAGGAUGGACUCGCGGCCUAUCAGCUAGUUGGUGAGGUAAUGGCUCACCAAGGCGACGACGGGUAGCCGGCCUGAGAGGGUGACCGGCCACACUGGGACUGAGACACGGCCCAGACUCCUACGGGAGGCAGCAGUGGGGAAUAUUGCACAAUGGGCGCAAGCCUGAUGCAGCAACGCCGCGUGAGGGACGACGGCCUUCGGGUUGUAAACCUCUUUUAGUAGGGAAGAAGCGAAAGUGACGGUACCUGCAGAAAAAGCACCGGCUAACUACGUGCCAGCAGCCGCGGUAAUACGUAGGGUGCAAGCGUUAUCCGGAAUUAUUGGGCGUAAAGAGCUCGUAGGCGGUUUGUCGCGUCUGCUGUGAAAACUGGAGGCUCAACCUCCAGCCUGCAGUGGGUACGGGCAGACUAGAGUGCGGUAGGGGAGAUUGGAAUUCCUGGUGUAGCGGUGGAAUGCGCAGAUAUCAGGAGGAACACCGAUGGCGAAGGCAGAUCUCUGGGCCGUAACUGACGCUGAGGAGCGAAAGCAUGGGGAGCGAACAGGAUUAGAUACCCUGGUAGUCCAUGCCGUAAACGUUGGGAACUAGAUGUAGGGGCCAUUCCACGGUUUCUGUGUCGCAGCUAACGCAUUAAGUUCCCCGCCUGGGGAGUACGGCCGCAAGGCUAAAACUCAAAGGAAUUGACGGGGGCCCGCACAAGCGGCGGAGCAUGCGGAUUAAUUCGAUGCAACGCGAAGAACCUUACCAAGGCUUGACAUAU